GGCCCCUUCGGGGGUACACGAGCAGCGAACGGGUGAGUAACGCGUGGGUAAUCUACCCAAAGGUGGAGGAUAGCCUCGGGAAACCGGGGGUAAUACUGCAUAUGCCCCGACUGACACAAGUCUAUCGGGGGAAAGGCGGGGAUCUUCGGACCUGUCGCCUUUGGAUGAGCCCGCGUCCGAUUAGCUAGUUGGUGAGGUAAUGGCUCACCAAGGCAUCGAACGGUAGCCGGCCUGAGAGGGUGAACGGCCACAUUGGGACUGAGACACGGCCCAGACUCCUACGGGAGGCAGCAGUGGGGAAUUUUGGGCAAUGGGCGCAAGCCUGACCCAGCGACGCCGCGUGGAGGAUGAAGGCCUUCGGGUUGUAAACUCCUGUCAGGUGGGAAGAAGUGCUUCACGGAUAAUACCCGUGAAGAAUUGACGGUACCACCAAAGGAAGCCCCGGCUAACUCCGUGCCAGCAGCCGCGGUAAUACGGAGGGGGCAAGCGUUAUUCGGAUUUACUGGGCGUAAAGCGCACGUAGGCGGCAGUGUAAGUCACAGGUGAAAUCCCUCGGCUCAACCGAGGAACCGCCUGCGAAACUGCAUUGCUUGAGUCCGGGAGGGGGGAGCGGAAUUCCCAGUGUAGCGGUGAAAUGCGUAGAUACUGGGAGGAACACCGGUGGCGAAGGCGGCUCCCUGGACCGGUACUGACGCUGAGGUGCGAAAGCG
This 710-nucleotide ribosomal RNA is filed under the name uncultured bacterium. Its description in RNAcentral is "bacterial SSU rRNA". It matches the Rfam family "Bacterial small subunit ribosomal RNA", at positions 73 to 761 of the family's 1533-position model. The record is from RNAcentral.